AGAGUUUGAUCCUGGCUCAGAUUGAACGCUGGCGGCAGGCUUAACACAUGCAAGUCGAGCGGUAACAGGAGAAGCUUGCUUCUCGCUGACGAGCGGCGGACGGGUGAGUAAUACUUAGGAAUCUACCUAGUAGUGGGGGAUAGCUCGGGGAAACUCGAAUUAAUACCGCAUACGACCUACGGGAGAAAGGGGGCAACUUGUUGCUCUCGCUAUUAGAUGAGCCUAAGUCGGAUUAGCUAGAUGGUGGGGUAAAGGCCUACCAUGGCGACGAUCUGUAGCUGGUCUGAGAGGAUGAUCAGCCACACCGGGACUGAGACACGGCCCGGACUCCUACGGGAGGCAGCAGUGGGGAAUAUUGGACAAUGGGGGCAACCCUGAUCCAGCCAUGCCGCGUGUGUGAAGAAGGCCUUUUGGUUGUAAAGCACUUUAAGCAGUGAAGAAGACUCCAUGGUUAAUACCCAUGGACGAUGACAUAGCUGCAG
This 482-nucleotide ribosomal RNA is filed under the name uncultured bacterium. RNAcentral's name for it is "bacterial SSU rRNA". It matches the Rfam family "Bacterial small subunit ribosomal RNA", at positions 8 to 484 of the family's 1533-position model. The record is from RNAcentral.